UGUAAGGUUUCUUUCUUGAUGUAAAGCAG
Molecule: non-coding RNA, 29 nt
Filed under: Rattus norvegicus (Norway rat)
Lineage: Eukaryota; Metazoa; Chordata; Mammalia; Rodentia; Muridae
Source: RNAcentral